Molecule: ribosomal RNA, 899 nt
Filed under: Nodularia spumigena CCNP 1403
Lineage: Bacteria; Bacillati; Cyanobacteriota; Cyanophyceae; Nostocales; Nodulariaceae
Description: bacterial SSU rRNA
Rfam family: Bacterial small subunit ribosomal RNA
Source: RNAcentral
GGUUGUAAACCUCUUUUCUCAGGGAAGAAAAAAAUGACGGUACUUGAGGAAUAAGCAUCGGCUAACUCCGUGCCAGCAGCCGCGGUAAUACGGAGGAUGCAAGCGUUAUCCGGAAUGAUUGGGCGUAAAGGGUCCGCAGGUGGCUAUGUAAGUCUGCUGUUAAAGAACCUAGCUUAACUAGGUAAAAGCAGUGGAAACUACAAGGCUAGAGUGCGUUCGGGGUAGAGGGAAUUCCUGGUGUAGCGGUGAAAUGCGUAGAUAUCAGGAAGAACACCAGUGGCGAAGGCGCUCUACUAGGCCGCAACUGACACUGAGGGACGAAAGCUAGGGGAGCGAAUGGGAUUAGAUACCCCAGUAGUCCUAGCCGUAAACGAUGGAUACUAGGCGUGGCUUGUAUCGACCCAAGCCGUGCCGGAGCUAACGCGUUAAGUAUCCCGCCUGGGGAGUACGCACGCAAGUGUGAAACUCAAAGGAAUUGACGGGGGCCCGCACAAGCGGUGGAGUAUGUGGUUUAAUUCGAUGCAACGCGAAGAACCUUACCAAGACUUGACAUGUCGCGAAUCUCUCUGAAAGGAGAGAGUGCCUUCGGGAGCGCGAACACAGGUGGUGCAUGGCUGUCGUCAGCUCGUGUCGUGAGAUGUUGGGUUAAGUCCCGCAACGAGCGCAACCCUCGUUUUUAGUUGCCAGCAUUAAGUUGGGCACUCUAGAGAGACUGCCGGUGACAAACCGGAGGAAGGUGGGGAUGACGUCAAGUCAGCAUGCCCCUUACGUCUUGGGCUACACACGUACUACAAUGCUACGGACAAAGGGCAGCUACACAGCAAUGUGAUGCAAAUCUCACAAACCGUAGCUCAGUUCAGAUCGCAGGCUGCAACUCGCCUGCGUGAAGUCGGAAUCGC